ACAUACGACCAUAGGGUGUGGAAAACAGGGCUUCCUGUCCGCUCAGCCGUACUUAAGGCACACGCCGGUGACUUAGUAGUUGGGUAGGUGAUCACUAGCGAAUCCUUACUGUUGUAUGUU
Molecule: ribosomal RNA, 120 nt
Filed under: Penicillium freii
Lineage: Eukaryota; Fungi; Ascomycota; Eurotiomycetes; Eurotiales; Aspergillaceae
Source: RNAcentral